This 279-nucleotide ribosomal RNA is filed under the name uncultured bacterium. Its description in RNAcentral is "partial 16S ribosomal RNA". It matches the Rfam family "Bacterial small subunit ribosomal RNA", at positions 506 to 784 of the family's 1533-position model. The record is from RNAcentral.
UGCCAGCCGCCGCGGUAAUACGGAGGGUGCAAGCAUUAAUCGGAUUUAUUGGGCGUAAAGAGCGCGUAGGUGGGCUAUUAAGUCAGGCGUGAAAGCCCCGGGCUCAACCCGGGAACUGCGUUUGAUACUGCAAGACUUGAGGACGGAAGAGGAAAGUGGAAUUCCUAGUGUAGAGGUGAAAUUCGUAGAUAUUCGGAAGAACACCAGUGGCGAAGGCGGCUCACUGGCUCGAUACUGACGCUGAGGUGCGAAAGUGUGGGGAGCAAACAGGAUUAGAUA